This 364-nucleotide long non-coding RNA is filed under the name Ananas comosus (pineapple). Its description in RNAcentral is "long non-coding RNA (ACOM_LNC012742)". Lineage: Eukaryota; Viridiplantae; Streptophyta; Magnoliopsida; Poales; Bromeliaceae. The record is from RNAcentral.
UUUAUAGCUUUGCGAGAAUCGAAAAUGACACAUUAAUAUCAAUUAAGUACUAUAACGUGAAGAAAUCAGCUACGUAGCAGUCAUAUAUUCAACCAAUUAUAUUUUUUUAAAAAAAACACAAUAGAAAUAUUUUUUAAAAAAUUAUAAUGGAAUAGGUGAACUCCACAAAAAUAAUUUAAUUAGUUGAAAGACACCACGUCGACAAUGUGAUUGUUGUAUUCUAUACUUUUUCUUAUAAAAUAAUGUACAUCAUAUAGACAAUAAAUUUAUAUUGAAUUUAGAAAAUAAUAGAAAUAUAAAACAAAGCUAUUAUAUAUGUAUGUUAUGUAAAAAGUUUAAAAGAAAAUUAAUAGAGUUUUCAUUU